AUUGAACGCUGGCGGCAUGCCUUACACAUGCAAGUCGAACGGUAACGCGGGGCAACCUGGCGACGAGUGGCGAACGGGUGAGUAAUGCAUCGGGACGUGCCCAGUAGUGGGGGAUAGCCCGGCGAAAGCCGGAUUAAUACCGCAUACGACCUACGGGUGAAAGGGGGGGAUCGCAAGACCUCUCGCUAUUGGAGCGGCCGAUGUCAGAUUAGGUAGUUGGUGGGGUAAAGGCCCACCAAGCCGUCGAUCUGUAGCUGGUCUGAGAGGACGACCAGCCACACUGGGACUGAGACACGGCCCAGACUCCGACGGGAGGCAGCAGUGGGGAAUUUUGGACAAUGGGCGCAAGCCUGAUCCAGCCAUGCCGCGUGCGGGAAGAAGGCCUUCGGGUUGUAAACCGCUUUUGUCAGGGAAGAAACGCUCUGGGCUAAUACCUCGGGGUAAUGACGGUACCUGAAGAAUAAGCACCGGCUAACUACGUGCCAGCCGCCGCCGUAA
This 498-nucleotide ribosomal RNA is filed under the name uncultured bacterium. Its description in RNAcentral is "partial 16S ribosomal RNA". It matches the Rfam family "Bacterial small subunit ribosomal RNA", at positions 29 to 523 of the family's 1533-position model. The record is from RNAcentral.